GCCAGCCGUCAUCAUGUGAAUCAACCCCUCCAGAGUAGUGGUAGUCUCGACUCUAAUCUGACUUAAGGCCUGAAUCAAUGCAUCUUUAUGGGUGCUAGAAAUGUCAAUAAACUUUAAAUAGAUAUAUGAGCUUAGGUGCUCUAUAACUAUCUCAGGAUCUCAUCAUCCUCUCUACUGACCUCCUCAUAAGAAGAUGUACCCUCCAAGGGUCUAACGGCUAUGGGG
RNAcentral lists this long non-coding RNA (225 nucleotides) under Vitis vinifera (wine grape). RNAcentral describes it as "long non-coding RNA (VVIN_LNC004674)". Lineage: Eukaryota; Viridiplantae; Streptophyta; Magnoliopsida; Vitales; Vitaceae. The record is from RNAcentral.